This 520-nucleotide ribosomal RNA is filed under the name uncultured Entrophospora. RNAcentral describes it as "SSU rRNA". It matches the Rfam family "Eukaryotic small subunit ribosomal RNA", at positions 569 to 1082 of the family's 1831-position model. Lineage: Eukaryota; Fungi; Glomeromycota; Glomeromycetes; Entrophosporales; Entrophosporaceae. The record is from RNAcentral.
AGCAGCCGCGGUAAUUCCAGCCCCAAUAGCGUAUAUUAAAGUUGUUGCAGUUAAAAAGCUCGUAGUUGAAUUUCGGGAUUGACGUGAUGGUCAUGCCUUAAGGGGUAUGAACUGUUGCAGUUGAUUUCUCACCUUCUGGAAAAACUUGAUGUCCUUUAUUGGGUGUCUUGCGGAUCCAGGACCUUUACCUUGAAAAAAUUUAGAGUGUUUAAAGCAGGCAUUUUUGCUCGAAUACAUUAGCAUGGAAUAAUAGAAUAGGACGGCAUGGUUCUAUUUUGUUGGUUUCUAGGAUCACCGUAAUGAUUAAUAGGGAUAGUUGGGGGCAUUAGUAUUCAAUUGUCAGAGGUGAAAUUCUUGGAUUUAUUGAAGACUAACUACUGCGAAAGCAUUUGCCAAGGAUGUUUUCAUUAAUCAAGAACGAAAGUUAGGGGAUCGAAGACGAUCAGAUACCGUCGUAGUCUUAACCAUAAACUAUGCCGACUAGGAAUCAGACGAUGUUAAUUUUUUAAUGACUCGUUUG